AAGAUUUGAAGUUGACAAGGCUACUGAGAAAAUUCUUAUUGCAUGGUGAGGAACAUCAAAGUCCAGAGUCAUCAUGAAUGAUUUCUUAAGUACUUCUUCCUUAACAUCUCUGUCUGCAAGGAAGAAAAAAAAUCGUUUAAUAUAAUGUUUCAUUAUCGAAAUCUUCAAAAAUUUCUGUAACCUUUAAAAUCACGGGUACUGCGGCAAGUUGUUUUAAA
This is a long non-coding RNA of Xenia sp. Carnegie-2017, 218 nucleotides long. RefSeq lists it as uncharacterized. The record is from RefSeq and is a predicted model, not a curated record. NCBI's taxonomy places the organism in Eukaryota, Metazoa, Cnidaria, Anthozoa, Malacalcyonacea, Xeniidae. The transcript has 2 exons.